GUCCAGUCACAUGUGGGUGUCCUCACUAGUUUAGAAAGAUAAAGUAAGAGAGGCAUCUGAAAAUAACACAUAACAAUCAGGAAGAUGUUAAACUCGUAAAGAUUCUUGUUGUAGGUCGUUGGAAGAGGAUUGAGAUAUAACUACAUGUCCCAUGAUGCCUCGCUUUGGAGAUGACCAAAUGGAACACAGAGCGGACCAGCCGUUGUGACAGCUGAGCUUCAAGUUUACUGAGGAAAACUUUAGCGCCGAUAACGACGUUGAAUAGACAAAAUAAACAUUAGUUGAGGCGAAGACAUCCUCCCCUCCUUGUAAUCCUGCAGGCGGGGAGCUUGCAGCAGUGACAAUGGCUUCAGACAGCAGAGACUCACGGAAGGUGCACCCUCUGUACAAACAUACACUGGUGGGAAAUGAAUGGCACCUUUUGUGUGCAAAACGCAAAUUAUUCACUGUGUGUUCAAAACAACUGGCAUCACUCAUGGAAAAUAGAAAACACUGCUAACACAAAAUGAGCUAUUAUGUACUGUAUGAAGUCAGGAGCACAUGAUUACCCUUCAUGUCAUACAGCCAAGGGGACAUAAUAAUUAAUCUGUCUUCGGUUGUCUCUUAUGACCUUCACACAACUUUUCAGUUAUAACAAAAACAUAUUAACAAACAUGUAAGUUUGAAGGAACUUUGUUUAAAAUUAAUAACAUCACAAUGCAUUCAAACA
Molecule: long non-coding RNA, 709 nt
Organism: Cottoperca gobio
Lineage: Eukaryota; Metazoa; Chordata; Actinopteri; Perciformes; Bovichtidae
Exons: 3
Source: RefSeq, a predicted model, not a curated record